This 426-nucleotide ribosomal RNA is filed under the name uncultured bacterium. RNAcentral's name for it is "bacterial SSU rRNA". It matches the Rfam family "Bacterial small subunit ribosomal RNA", at positions 354 to 796 of the family's 1533-position model. The record is from RNAcentral.
GUAGGGAAUAUUGCACAAUGGGCGAAAGCCUGAUGCAGCAACGCCGCGUGCGCGAAGAAGGUCUUCGGAUCGUAAAGCGCUUUUCGGGGAGAUGAGGAAGGACAGUAUCCCCGGAAUAAGGCUCGGCUAACUACGUGCCAGCAGCCGCGGUAAAACGUAGGAGCCAAGCGUUAUCCGAAUUCACUGGGCGUAAAGCGCGUGCAGGCGGUCUGGUAAGUUGGAUGUGAAAUCUCCUGGCUCAACUGGGAGAGGCCGUUCAAUACUGUCAGACUAGAGGGCGACAGAGGGAGGUGGAAUUCCGGGUGUAGUGGUGAAAUGCGUAGAUAUCCGGAGGAACACCAGAGGCGAAGGCGACCUCCUGGGUCGUACCUGACGCUCAGAUGCGAAAGCUAGGGGAGCGAACGGGAUUAGAAACCCCGGUAGUCC